RNAcentral lists this ribosomal RNA (377 nucleotides) under Hymenolepis diminuta. RNAcentral describes it as "partial large subunit ribosomal RNA". It matches the Rfam family "Archaeal large subunit ribosomal RNA", at positions 2029 to 2695 of the family's 2987-position model. Lineage: Eukaryota; Metazoa; Platyhelminthes; Cestoda; Cyclophyllidea; Hymenolepididae. The record is from RNAcentral.
AAAGGUAGCAUAAUUAAUUGCCUUAUAAUUGAGGGCUUGUUUGAAUGGUUGGACGCGGUAAUAAUGAAUAUCCUGUAUUUUAGUGAAAUUAAUUUUGAGGGCACAGAAUCUUCAUAAGUUAAUUAGACGGAAAGACCCCGGGAUCUUUCGUUUUGCCUGGGGCAGGUGUUAAUAUUUUAUUAAUAUUUGGACCCUCUAAAGUUUAUUGGGUUAAGUUACCCCGGGGAUAACAGUGUAAUAGUUAAUAAGAGAUCUUAUCGAAUUAACUGCUUGCCACCUCGAUGUUGACUUAGAUAUUAAAGUAGGCGCAGUAGUCUAUUGUUUUGGUCUGUUCGACCUUUGUUAUCUCCAUGAGUUGAGUUAAGACCGGUGUAAGC